CUGUAAGAUGCAAGUCACUACCCCAGAGCAGCCAGGAGUGGCCUGUGUAGUUUCAACCUUCACUGAGACCUUAACUCUACUUUGUUAAACUCCCAAUCGGCAGAAACACACACUCAUCUCCUCGUAGGAGUUACCGAGCACCUCACAUGUACCUCUACUAGGCACUUAAGCCGUGAGUUUGACUCCCUUGUUGGACUUUGAGCCCCUGAUGACCAUGAUGACUCUUCACUCAUCUGUGUAUUCUAGUCCUCUGCCAGAGAGCUGGACUUACAGUAGACUCUCAAAAAUUUGUUUAUUGAUCCUUGCCUCAUUCCACAAAAUAUUUGAGGCAGAUAAUAAAUAAAUAUUUGUUGAAUUGUG
Molecule: long non-coding RNA, 360 nt
Organism: Diceros bicornis minor
Lineage: Eukaryota; Metazoa; Chordata; Mammalia; Perissodactyla; Rhinocerotidae
Exons: 2
Source: RefSeq, a predicted model, not a curated record